AUUGAACGCUGGCGGCAGGCCUAACACAUGCAAGUCGAACGGUAACAGGAAGCAGCUUGCUGCUUUGCUGACGAGUGGCGGACGGGUGAGUAAUGUCUGGGAAACUGCCUGAUGGAGGGGGAUAACUACUGGAAACGGUAGCUAAUACCGCAUAACGUCGCAAGACCAAAGAGGGGGACCUUCGGGCCUCUUGCCAUCGGAUGUGCCCAGAUGGGAUUAGCUAGUAGGUGGGGUAACGGCUCACCUAGGCGACGAUCCCUAGCUGGUCUGAGAGGAUGACCAGCCACACUGGAACUCAGACACGGUCCAGACUCCUACGGGAGGCAGCAGUGGGGAAUAUUGCACAAUGGGCGCAAGCCUGAUGCAGCCAUGCCGCGUGUAUGAAGAAGGCCUUCGGGUUGUAAAGUACUUUCAGCGGGGAGGAAGGGAGUAAAGUUAAUACCUUUGCUCAUUGACGUUACCCGCAGAAGAAGCACCGGCUAACUCCGUG
RNAcentral lists this ribosomal RNA (490 nucleotides) under uncultured bacterium. RNAcentral's name for it is "partial 16S ribosomal RNA". It matches the Rfam family "Bacterial small subunit ribosomal RNA", at positions 30 to 507 of the family's 1533-position model. The record is from RNAcentral.